AUAUCAACUUGACUUGAGUUCGAGUCAGAAUUGAGAUUUCCAUUUGCGUCAGCAGAUGAAUCUUGAAUUGUAUAAGAAUUCAGGUUUCGGUGUGACCGCAUAUGCUGAACAUUGUGGGAUACGAAACUGUAGAAAGCUUUUCUACGGAUCGAAUUUCAUCAUCACAAUGAGUUCAGUAUGAAAGGUGUGACCGAAGCAAUUUAAACUGAGUACUUCAACAAAUUUUACUUGAAAUAUUUAUAUUUCAAU
Molecule: unclassified non-coding RNA, 249 nt
Filed under: uncultured fungus
Lineage: Eukaryota; Fungi
Description: sequence contains ITS2
Source: RNAcentral